GACGAACGCUGGCGGCGUGCUUAACACAUGCAAGUCGAACGGAAAGGCCCUGCUUUUGUGGGGUGCUCGAGUGGCGAACGGGUGAGUAACACGUGAGUAACCUGCCCUUGACUUUGGGAUAACUUCAGGAAACUGGGGCUAAUACCGGAUAGGAGCUCCUGCUGCAUGGUGGGGGUUGGAAAGUUUCGGCGGUUGGGGAUGGACUCGCGGCUUAUCAGCUUGUUGGUGGGGUAGUGGCUUACCAAGGCUUUGACGGGUAGCCGGCCUGAGAGGGUGACCGGCCACAUUGGGACUGAGAUACGGCCCAGACUCCUACGGGAGGCAGCAGUGGGGAAUAUUGCACAAUGGGCGGAAGCCUGAUGCAGCAAAGCAGCGUGCGGGAUGACGGCCUUCGGGUUGUAAACCGCUUUCGCCUGUGACGAAGCGUGAGUGACGGUAAUGGGUAAAGAAGCACCGGCUAACUACGUG
Molecule: ribosomal RNA, 468 nt
Filed under: uncultured bacterium
Lineage: Bacteria
Description: partial 16S ribosomal RNA
Rfam family: Bacterial small subunit ribosomal RNA
Source: RNAcentral